RNAcentral lists this ribosomal RNA (253 nucleotides) under uncultured bacterium. Its description in RNAcentral is "partial 16S ribosomal RNA". It matches the Rfam family "Bacterial small subunit ribosomal RNA", at positions 524 to 776 of the family's 1533-position model. The record is from RNAcentral.
UACAGAGGUCCCGAGCGUUGUUCGGAUUCACUGGGCGUAAAGGGUGCGUAGGCGGGCAAUCAAGUCAGUGGUGAAAUCCCCCGGCCCAACCGGGGAACUGCCGCCGAUACUGAUUGUCUCGAGGGAGGUAGGGGUGUGUGGAACUUCCGGUGGAGCGGUGAAAUGCGUAGAGAUCGGAAGGAACGCCGGCGGCGAAAGCGACACACUGGAUCUCUUCUGACGCUGAGGCACGAAAGCCAGGGGAGCAAACGGG